CAUCACUACGCUAGAUGCAUAUCAAUAAGCGGAGGAAAAGGCUGCGACUGACCCUACCUACGCUUAGGAUGUUGACACACGCGCGUGCUCGAUGAUAGUCUAUACAUGACUCUGCGCAUAUCAAUAAGCGGAGGAAAAGAAACUAACAAGGAUUCCCUUAGUAACGGCGAGUGAAGCGGGAAGAGCUCAAAUUUGAAAUCUUCAAGGUUUUACCUUGACGAAUUGUAGUUUAAAGAAGUGUUUUCUGUUGGAGUUUUGGUAAAAGUUCUUUGGAAUAGGACAUCAUAGAGGGUGAGAAUCCCGUAUUUGACCAUUAUUUCCAGCUGUGUGAUACACUUUCAAAGAGUCGGAUUGUUUGGGAAUGCAGUCCAAAAUGGGUGGUAAAUUUCAUCUAAAGCUAAAUAUUGGCGAGAGACCGAUAGCGAACAAGUACCGUGAGGGAAAGAUGAAAAGAACUUUGAAAAGAGAGUUAAACAGUACGUGAAAUUGUCAAAAGGGAAGCGUUUGACACCAGUGUUGUUUUCUCGAAAAUCAAUUAAAAAUGAUGGGAUUUUGUGCUGUAUUGACUUUAUCAGCUUUCUGCACUUUUUUCUUAUCUUUUUUAAUGCACUUUUCAGUUAACAAGUCAACAUCAAUUUCUUUUGUUGUAAAAGGGUAAGAGGAAGGUGGCUUACGCUUCGGCGUAAGUGUUUAUAGCCUUUUACCUCUGCAAUCGGAGAGAUUGAGGACAGCAGCGUAGACUCCUUCGGGGGUUAGAUACACUUGUGCUAAGCUAUAGCCUUGUAUAGACAACUUGUUGACUAUGCUCAGUCAUGUAGCUUACUCGCUUGUGCUAUUUUACCUACGCUUAGGAUGUUGACACACGCGCGUGCUCG
Molecule: ribosomal RNA, 875 nt
Filed under: uncultured Neocallimastigales
Lineage: Eukaryota; Fungi; Neocallimastigomycota; Neocallimastigomycetes; Neocallimastigales
Description: partial large subunit ribosomal RNA
Rfam family: Eukaryotic large subunit ribosomal RNA
Source: RNAcentral